Molecule: unclassified non-coding RNA, 229 nt
Filed under: plant metagenome
Description: partial contains small subunit ribosomal RNA, internal transcribed spacer 1, and 5.8S ribosomal RNA
Source: RNAcentral
UCUCCGUAGGUGAACCUGCGGAGGGAUCAUUACAGAGUUCAUGCCCUACCGGGUAGAUCUCCCACUCUAUGUUAUUAUUACUUUGUUGCUUUGGCGGGCCGUUAGGCUCCGGCCCGACUACCGGCCCCGGCUGGUAAGCGCCCGCCAGAGGACCCAAAACCCUGAAUAUUAGUGUCGUCUGAGUACUAUAUAAUAGUUAAAACUUUCAACAACGGAUCUCUUGGUUCUG